AAUAGAACGAGAAUGAGGAUAAGAAGGUCAAGGGUUGCCGAUGGAGAGUGUUUACAAAGAAGGGAAUUGCUAGGGCUAGGGUUUGUUGAAGUCUUGGAUUUGGAGAUUGAUGACGAUGAAGUGAGAAUUGAGGACGGAGGCAUGGCGGUGGUCGGAACCAGAAGAUUGCGCAUGAUAUAGAGAGAGCCCAGUGGGAGCUUUCGCUAUAAUGGAGUUUCAAAAAUUAGGGCAAACUUAGGGAUCUGACUGUAAAAAUGGGAUUUGAGAGAAAGGAAGAUUGAUGAAGAAGAAGAAGAAGAAUGGCGCACGUUAGCGAAGUGGUGGUGACGAACCGGCGAUUGUGAGCCGUCUGAUUGAGGAUCUCACACG
Molecule: unclassified non-coding RNA, 369 nt
Filed under: Hevea brasiliensis (rubber tree)
Lineage: Eukaryota; Viridiplantae; Streptophyta; Magnoliopsida; Malpighiales; Euphorbiaceae
Source: RNAcentral